CGGCUCGGCGAGCUGGCUGUCGCGACCCGCUCGCUGCAGGACGAGCUCGGGCAGACCAUCACCAUGGCAAAGGUGGACCGCGAUAGGCUGGACGACGCAGGCCGUCACAUCUGCACGUUGCAGGAUGACGUGCG
This 134-nucleotide non-coding RNA is filed under the name Gonyaulax spinifera. The record is from RNAcentral. Lineage: Eukaryota; Dinophyceae; Gonyaulacales; Gonyaulacaceae.